UUCACUGUGAGGUGAAAUCUGAAGGAAGCUGAAAGCAAAAUGCUGGCCUGACGAACAGGAAGCGGUUUAGGCGUUGUAGCAGGGUAAGGUGGCCAAUAUCGCCAAAGUCCAAUACUUGCAUGGAAUGCUGCAACGUAUAACCGACAGGCAUAAGCAGGAAGGUCGCGCGA
Molecule: non-coding RNA, 170 nt
Organism: Nitrincola nitratireducens
Lineage: Bacteria; Pseudomonadati; Pseudomonadota; Gammaproteobacteria; Oceanospirillales; Oceanospirillaceae
Source: Rfam